Molecule: non-coding RNA, 2006 nt
Organism: Miniopterus natalensis
Lineage: Eukaryota; Metazoa; Chordata; Mammalia; Chiroptera; Miniopteridae
Source: RefSeq, a predicted model, not a curated record
UGCUCGCGUGAAUGGCGGUGAACCGGGCAUUUCCUAACGUGAGAACUGCUCCCAGGGACGCCAGAUGCAGACAGACCUCUGUUCUCCAAGGAGACGACCGUCCAAAAUGAUUGAUGUAUUUGGUGAUAAAUUUGAGUCUUGGCGAGUUGAAAAUAAAAGCCGGGCAUGUCGUGGCUUUUUCCAGCCACGGUGUUCUGUCGGCCUCCCUGACAUGGAUUCUGUUCCGUUUCUCUCCAUCCGCAUAAUCAAAGAAACGCGACCAGAUCGAAAAGCCCCGAACGUGAAAUCAUUUCUCCGCCGUACAGCCUGUGGCUCCGCAGGGCGCUGUUGACGAGGCGCGUGCGCCCCAGCAGGCCGGCUUCGUCCAGAAAACUCGGGGGGCAGCGGAGCGGAUGGAACGUUCUAGCAUCGAAGCAGAAGACAGUGGGGAGGUUCCCUGCUUAAGUGGAAGGAAGACCAACGAUCGCAGCGUUGCAGCUGCUUCACCUCAAGGAAACCUGGGCGUAAUCAACUCCAAAUUCUAUUUUCAACCUGAGAACCAUUAAAGGCGAGAGAAGUCCUCUUGAGUUGAACGAGGGCUUUGGGCGUCAUUUAUUCUGGCAGAUGCUCGUAAGGGCCUGGCGCAGCCUGAUCGGAGGUAGAAACGCGAUCCUAGAUACAAGACAGAUUAAGCGCGGGAAUUAUUUGCCUUCUCACUUCUUAUGUAGAAUCCCGUUUUGUGUUGGAUCGCUUUUCUUCUUGUUUUCUUCUUACCGCUUCCAUAUUAUUUGACAAAAUGUUUCACCUUGCCGAUCCGAAGGUGCUGAUCUAUGUUGGAGGGAAAUCUUCUUUCGGAUGGAUCCAGCCAGUUGUGUUUUGCUUGUGGUGACAGGGACUUUCGGAGUGCGGAGAGGCAAGCUGAGGCCCCGGACUGUCCUCCCCGUAGCAUUUGCUCCAGGAAAGGUCAGAUGUUCCCAUUUUGCUCUGACAGUAACUGAAACAGAUGAGAAACUGGGUUUAUUUCACGUGAGGAAAUCACCUUCAAACGAGACUAGGUUUGCCCUGGGCGGAGAAACAGCCAACAUGGGAUCCGAGACCCAGUGCUCGGCCCACAGGCAGCCAAUCCCCUCUCCACCCAGCAGCUUCGGCCACUUCUGAACAGUGUGUCAUGGAAAUGUGAGUAUAGGACAGAUUUUAAGGACAAAUGGGAUAUCCCUUACAAGCAUUUCCAUCCAGGUGGUCCCUGAGACGUGAUAACGCAGAGGAUCAGUAUGUAUUGGGGAAAUUUUUCUCAACCAAAUUUGGUCAAGCAGCAUCUGACUUCAGAUGACCUCCAGGCAGAUUUCCCAGAGGAAGAAAAAUCUCAAGCAGUGUCUGUUUCAAGACCAUAGAGCGACUGUAUUGUGUCCAAGGUCCCUGUUUGAAUUCUGGCUCUGCCAUGAAUUGACUCAGGAAAUAUUUAUUGAGAGCCCACUGUCUUCCAGGCAUAAUGGUUACCACUGGAUGUGCAACAGCAAAUGAGACAGCCCUUGUCCUGUGGGCUUCAGAGUCUAUUUAAAAAGCCAGGCGAACAAAUAGGCAAUUAUAACACAGGGUAACAAAGCUAUGACAGGGAGGUGCAGUGCAGUGAGCCCCCGGGAAGAGCACCAAUUCAGAUUUCUAUGGCUGCUGCAACAAAUUGCCACGAUGCAAUGCUUAAAACAACACAGGUUUAUUAUAUCACAAUUCUGGAGGUUGGAAGUCAGCCAUGGGUCUUGCUGAGUUAAAGCCCAGGUGUCAGCAGGUGCGUUCCUCCGGGAGGCUCCAGGUAGGACCCAUGUCCUUGCCUUUUCCAGCUUCUAGAGGCCGUCUGCAUUCCUUAGCUGGUGGCCCCUUCCCGUCAUCAAAGUCACGGAUGGCCAGUGGAGUCUCUCGUGCCUCAUUUGUAAGACUGAUUCCCCUACGUCUCUAUUCCACAUAGAAGUGUUCUUAUGACUCCAUUGCCUCCCCCAGAUAAUCCAAGAUAGUCUCUCCCAGCUUAUCAACCU